RNAcentral lists this transfer RNA (66 nucleotides) under Goniomonas pacifica. It matches the Rfam family "tRNA". From Rfam's summary of the family: Transfer RNA (tRNA) molecules are approximately 80 nucleotides in length. Their secondary structure includes four short double-helical elements and three loops (D, anti-codon, and T loops). The record is from RNAcentral. Lineage: Eukaryota; Cryptophyceae; Goniomonadida; Goniomonadaceae.
CCAAGUGGUCUAGUGGUAUGAUUCUCGCUUAGGGUGCGAGAGGUCCCGGGUUCAAUUCCCGGCUUG